This 226-nucleotide long non-coding RNA is filed under the name Ananas comosus (pineapple). RNAcentral's name for it is "long non-coding RNA (ACOM_LNC015964)". The record is from RNAcentral. Lineage: Eukaryota; Viridiplantae; Streptophyta; Magnoliopsida; Poales; Bromeliaceae.
CACUAACGUUAUCAUAUUCCCAACCAAACAAAUUAUGCUCCUAAGAUUCACUCGUUCUAUCAUAAUUUUUUUUUAAAAAAAAAUCACUGUAUUUUUCUCUAGAAUAAAAAAUUUUAAUUGAUUUGAGACAUAAAUGAGAUGAUGCAACUGCUACGCGGAAGACUACUUCUAUGCAUCGGUACAAAUUAUACAUCCAAUAUAAUAUUUGAUAAUUAAUAUUUUAAAA